RNAcentral lists this unclassified non-coding RNA (215 nucleotides) under Hevea brasiliensis (rubber tree). The record is from RNAcentral. Lineage: Eukaryota; Viridiplantae; Streptophyta; Magnoliopsida; Malpighiales; Euphorbiaceae.
GCCACUUCUGAGUAACGAACGCAAUGACAAUCAAAGAUUCCUUUCAGAACUCUAUAAGUAGAGCUCCCAACUUGCUUAACAAGCAGAAUGUAACAUAAAUAGUGAAGUGAGUCUUACGAGUAUUGAGUGUUCUAAGUCUUGUGAGUGUUCAUCAUUUUCUGUAAAAUUUUAAUAUAAUAAAAUUUCUUAUGGUAUUUUCUCAAUCUCAAUCUGCU